UACGAAGGGGGCUAGCGUUGCUCGGAAUCACUGGGCGUAAAGCGCACGUAGGCGGAUUGCUAAGUCAGGGGUGAAAUCCUGGAGCUCAACUCCAGAACUGCCUUUGAUACUGAAGAUCUUGAGUUCGGGAGAGGUGAGUGGAACUGCGAGUGUAGAGGUGAAAUUCGUAGAUAUUCGCAAGAACACCAGUGGCGAAGGCGGCUCACUGGCCCGGUACUGACGCUGAGGUGCGAAAGCGUGGGGAGCAAACAGG
RNAcentral lists this ribosomal RNA (253 nucleotides) under uncultured bacterium. Its description in RNAcentral is "partial 16S ribosomal RNA". It matches the Rfam family "Bacterial small subunit ribosomal RNA", at positions 524 to 776 of the family's 1533-position model. The record is from RNAcentral.